CGGGGCGUGGCGCAGCCUGGUAGCGCACCUGCAUGGGGUGCAGGGGGCCGCCCGUUCGAAUCGGGCCGCCCCGACCA
RNAcentral lists this transfer RNA (77 nucleotides) under Chloroflexota bacterium. RNAcentral's name for it is "tRNA-Pro". It matches the Rfam family "tRNA". Rfam says of the family: Transfer RNA (tRNA) molecules are approximately 80 nucleotides in length. Their secondary structure includes four short double-helical elements and three loops (D, anti-codon, and T loops). Lineage: Bacteria; Bacillati; Chloroflexota. The record is from RNAcentral.